RNAcentral lists this long non-coding RNA (386 nucleotides) under Homo sapiens (human). RNAcentral describes it as "HSALNT0267449". Lineage: Eukaryota; Metazoa; Chordata; Mammalia; Primates; Hominidae. The record is from RNAcentral.
GAUCCCAGUGACAUGUGACAAAUGUGCUGUGGCCUCCAGGAGCUGUUCUCCAAGGAGGCACUUAUUUCAUUUGACUCCAAGCAUCCAACCUCAACAGAUGGCAGAAUUCAGAUGGGUGGCGGUGGAACACCAGCUUUUUUCAGCGACUAUUUUGCAAUGUGAUACACAGACUCAACAUAGACACUUUCACGUGAAUAAAAGUGCUCUCUGUAGAAAUGGGGGGAAAAAAACCUGGUUGAUAGAAACUUAGACUUUUAGCUCAGACUCCCAGAUUUUCUGCAAUACACUCAUUCCACAAAGGGUGUCACCCUUGUGAGCACUUUUGGCUUAAAUGAAGGCUCAGUGUCUCUUUUUGGAGAGCAGACAACAUGUUAAGGACAUAAAUA